UACAGAGGGUGCAAGCGUUAAUCGGAUUUACUGGGCGUAAAGCGUGAGUAGGUGGCUCGCUAAGUCGAUUGUGAAAGCCCUGGGCUCAACCUGGGAAUUGCAGUCGAUACUGGUGAGCUAGAGUUCGGUAGAGGGUGACGGAAUUCCCGGUGUAGCGGUGAAAUGCGUAGAUAUCGGGAGGAACAUCGAUGGCGAAGGCGAGUCUCUGGACGACUCCUGACACUGAGGCACGAAAGCUAGGGGAGCAAACAGG
This 253-nucleotide ribosomal RNA is filed under the name uncultured bacterium. RNAcentral describes it as "partial 16S ribosomal RNA". It matches the Rfam family "Bacterial small subunit ribosomal RNA", at positions 524 to 776 of the family's 1533-position model. The record is from RNAcentral.